RNAcentral lists this ribosomal RNA (2801 nucleotides) under Filimonas lacunae. RNAcentral describes it as "bacterial LSU rRNA". It matches the Rfam family "Bacterial large subunit ribosomal RNA". Lineage: Bacteria; Pseudomonadati; Bacteroidota; Chitinophagia; Chitinophagales; Chitinophagaceae. The record is from RNAcentral.
UUAAAGCGAAAUAAGGGCGCAUGGUGGAUGCCUAGGGUCUGAGAGGCGAUGAAGGACGUGGUAAGCUGCGAUAAGGCAGGGGGAGCUGCACACGAGCGUAAUAUCCCUGCAUUUCCGAAUGGGACAACCUAAUAUACUGAAGGUAUAUUACUCGAAAGAGAGCCAACCCGGAGAACUGAAACAUCUAAGUACCCGGAGGAAAAGAAAAUAAUAAUGAUUCCCAGAGUAGUGGCGAGCGAAAAGGGAAGAGCCCAAACCGAAAUAGCGUGCUGUUUCGGGGUUGUAGGACUACGUUUAGAAAGUGUUAUCAAAUCGAACCAUCUGGAAAGUUGGGCCAUAGCAGGUGAUAGCCCUGUAGAUAGAAAUUAACAUGGACGAGUAGUAUCCUGAGUAGCGCGGGACCGGAGGAAUCCUGCGUGAAUCUGCCAGCACCAUCUGGUAAGGCUAAAUACUCCUCAGACACCGAUAGUGAACCAGUACCGUAAGGGAAAGGUGAAAAGCACCCUGAACAAGGGAGUGAAAUAGUACCUGAAACCGUGCGCCUACAAGCGGUCGGAGCAUCGUAAGAUGUGACGGCGUGCCUUUUGCAUAAUGAGCCUACGAGUUGCUCCUCACUGGCGAGGUUAAAUUCGUAAACGAAUGGAGCCGUAGCGAAAGCGAGUCCGAAUAGGGCGACUAGUCAGUGGGGGCAGACGCGAAACUUUGUGAUCUAUCCAUGGGCAGGUUGAAGUUCUGGUAACACAGAAUGGAGGACCGAACCCGUUGACGUUGAAAAGUCUUGGGAUGACCUGUGGAUAGGGGUGAAAGGCCAAUCAAACUGAGAGAUAGCUCGUUCUCCCCGAAAUGUUUUUAGGAACAGCCUUGUAUAUAGAAGUUUAACAGAGGUAGAGCUACUGAUUGGGCUAGGGGGCUUCACCGCCUACCAAACCCUGACAAACUCCGAAUGCUGUUAAAUAUCUACAGGAGUGAGGCUGCGGGCGCUAAGGUCCGUGGCCGAGAGGGAAAUAACCCAGACUAGCAACUAAGGUCCCUAAUACGUAGUUAAGUUGAUCAAACGAGGUGGGAUUUCAAUAACAGCCAGGAUGUUGGCUUGGAAGCAGCCAUUCAUUUAAAGAGUGCGUAACAGCUCACUGGUCGAGAGAUCCUGCACGGAAAAUAAUCGGGCAUCAAACUACGAACCGAAGUUCUAGAUUCAGCGUAAGCUGAGUGGUAGGGGAGCAUUGAAAUUGCAUCGAAGCUGUUAGGCGACUAAUGGUGGAGCGAUUUCAAAAGAAAAUGUAGGCAUAAGUAACGAUAAAAGAAGUGAAAAACUUCUUCGCCGAAAGUCUAAGGGUUCCUGAUCAACGUUAAUCGGAUCAGGGUUAGUCUGGUCCUUAGGAAAACCCGAAAGGGGCAUCUGAUGGAAAGAAGGUUAAUAUUCCUUCACCUGCUAUACAUUAAAAGUGACGCAUCGACGUGGUGGUUACGUACUGACAGAAUAGUGCGUAGAGAUGAAUCUUCGGAGGAGUCGAAAUCAUAAAAUUGGUGCCGAGAAAAGCGAGUAUAGCAGCCAGUACCGCAAACCGACACAGGUAGACGGGAUGAGUAUUCUAAGGCGCUCGGGUGAGCCGUGGAGAAGGAACUAGGCAAAUUGACGCUGUAACUUCGGGACAAGGCGUACCGUAGCGAUACGGUCUCAGUAAAAUGAUUCAACCAACUGUUUAACAAAAACACAGGGCCCUGCAAAAUCGAAAGAUGACGUAUAGAGCCUGAAACCUGCCCGGUGCUGGAAGGUUAAGGAAGGAUGUUCGGCGCAAGCCAAAGCUUCUGACUGAAGCCCCAGUAAACGGCGGCCGUAACUAUAACGGUCCUAAGGUAGCGAAAUUCCUUGUCGGGUAAGUUCCGACCUGCACGAAUGGUCUAAUGAGUUGAAUACUGUCUCCUCCACGAGCCCGGUGAAAUUGUAGUAUCGGUGAAGAUGCCGGUUACCCGCCACGGGACGGAAAGACCCCGUGAACCUUCACUACAACUUUGCAUUGAUCUUGAGUAACAAAUGUGUAGGAUAGUUGGGAGACUGUGAAGUAGCUUCGCCAGGAGUUAUGGAGUCAACGUUGAAAUACCAACCUUUUGUUACUUAGGACCUAAUCCUGCAUAAGGAGACAUUGCAUGGUGGGUAGUUUGACUGGGGUGGUCGCCUCCUAAAAAGUAACGGAGGCUUGCAAAGGUACCCUCAGUACGGUUGGUAAUCGUACGUAGAGCGCAUUAGUAUAAGGGUGCUUGACUGUGAGACAAACAAGUCGAUCAGGAGCGAAAGCUGGCUAAAGUGAUCCGGCGGUUCUGUAUGGAAGGGCCGUCGCUCAAAGGAUAAAAGGUACUCCGGGGAUAACAGGCUGAUCUUACCCAAGAGCUCAUAUCGACGGUAAGGUUUGGCACCUCGAUGUCGGUUCGUCACAUCCUGGGGCUGGAGAAGGUCCCAAGGGUUCGGCUGUUCGCCGAUUAAAGUGGCACGUGAACUGGGUUCAGAACGUCGCAAGACAGUUCGGUCCCUAUCUGUGGUGGGCGUUAGGAAAUUGCGGGGACGUGACCUUAGUACGAGAGGACCGGGUCGCAUGUACCGCUGGUGAAUCUGUUAUGCCGCUCGGUGUAUUGCAGAGUAGCUAUGUACAGUCAGGAUAAACGCUGAAAGCAUCUAAGCGUGAAACCUACCUCAAGAUGAGUUUCCUUUUAAGGGUUGUCAAAGACUAUGACGUUGAUAGGCUAUAGAUGUAAAGUUGGUAACAACAAAGUCGAGUAGUACUAAUUACCCGUAAGCUUUAAUUUUU